This is a long non-coding RNA of Canis lupus familiaris (dog), 1227 nucleotides long. RefSeq lists it as uncharacterized. NCBI's taxonomy places the organism in Eukaryota, Metazoa, Chordata, Mammalia, Carnivora, Canidae. The transcript has 3 exons. The record is from RefSeq and is a predicted model, not a curated record.
UUGGAGGUUACCCUUCCUAUGUCACAAUCACCUAGCAACAGCACUCAUUUGUUGUCAAGGGAAAAUCUGGUUCUUGGCCAACCUAAAGCUUUCCUAAGAGGAUAGAGUGUUGUAGAAGGAUCGAGUUGGCUUCAGGGCAGAAGAGAGUGCUCAUUUCUCCUACUCUAUCUCUUGGCAGUUUUUCAGAAGCUAUCAGGUGGAGAAGGUUCACUCCCUGUUCUUCACGUACCCAAGCUGAGGAGUGUAGUGUUCUUGGCCUGUGCUCCUGGGACAACCCUCCCUGGGGUCGCUGAGGUAGGGAGAAGCUCUUGUUUUGUGCUUGAUCACAUUGUCCAUCUGGGGCAUGGAUUGUAUGUCUCCCAUGAAAAAACACGCGCACUCCUGGUAGGUCUGCAAGUACGUAUACUGUGUUACAAUUGCUUAUUCUUCCCUUUAUGGCUGAAGGCCUAGUCAUGACUCAAGGUCAUCACCAAGACUCUCAGUGAUUAUUCCACAGGAGCUGUAGCAGAGGUGACACUAACUUGAAGCCAAAAACACGCCCUGGCAGGUGUGAGUGUACUCUGGGAACAUUUUUACCGCCACUGUGUUAGUUUUCUGCUGCAGCUGUAACAAAUUACCAUAAAUUGAAUGGCUUCAAACAACACAAACGACCUUACAAUUCUAGUGGUGGAAUCAGUCUGAGUGGGUUUCACUGGGCUAACAUCGAGAGUCAGCAGGGCUGGAUUCCUUCUGAAGGCUCUAGGGGAAAAUCUGUUUCCUUACCUCUUCCAUCUCCUGGAGGCUACCUGUGUUUCUUGGCUUCUCCUCUACCUUGGAAGCCAGCAAUAGAUGAUCAAGUUAACUCAUGGUGUAUCACUGACACAGAGUCCUGCCUCCCUCUCCACUUAUAGGGACCCUUGUGAUUACGUUGGGUCCACCUGGAUAAUCCAGGCUCUUCUCCACAUCUCAAUAUCCUUAGUUUCAUCUGCACAUCCCAUGUCGCUAGGUAAGGAAUCUGGGAAAUGCACAACUUUGAGGGCCACCAUCAAUAGGAUGACAUUGUCAGGGAAGCUCUGGGUCGCUGAUCAUACAGAUAUUAGAGACGAAUAAUAUUGCCCUUAGGAGAUGGACCAAACAUAUGUUUUUAAAGAUUUUAUUUCUUCCUUCCUGAGAGUCACAGAGAGAGAGGCAGAGACCCAGGCAGAGGGAGAAGCAGACUCUCUGUGGGGAGCCCAAUGUGAGAUUCAA